This 1239-nucleotide ribosomal RNA is filed under the name Salmonella enterica subsp. enterica serovar Ank. Its description in RNAcentral is "partial 23S ribosomal RNA". It matches the Rfam family "Bacterial large subunit ribosomal RNA", at positions 1 to 1269 of the family's 2925-position model. The record is from RNAcentral. Lineage: Bacteria; Pseudomonadati; Pseudomonadota; Gammaproteobacteria; Enterobacterales; Enterobacteriaceae.
GGGUUGUGAGGUUAAGCGACUAAGCGUACACGGUGGAUGCCCUGGCAGUCAGAGGCGAUGAAGGGCGUGCUAAUCUGCGAUAAGCGCCGGUAAGGUGAUAUGAACCGUUAUAACCGGCGAUACCCGAAUGGGGAAACCCAGUGUGAUUCGUCACACUAUCAUUAACUGAAUCCAUAGGUUAAUGAGGCGAACCGGGGGAACUGAAACAUCUAAGUACCCCGAGGAAAAGAAAUCAACCGAGAUUCCCCCAGUAGCGGCGAGCGAACGGGGAGGAGCCCAGAGCCUGAAUCAGCAUGUGUGUUAGUGGAAGCGUCUGGAAAGGCGCGCGAUACAGGGUGACAGCCCCGUACACAAAAGCGCAUGUGCUGUGAGCUCGAUGAGUAGGGCGGGACACGUGGUAUCCUGUCUGAAUAUGGGGGGACCAUCCUCCAAGGCUAAAUACUCCUGACUGACCGAUAGUGAACCAGUACCGUGAGGGAAAGGCGAAAAGAACCCCGGCGAGGGGAGUGAAAAAGAACCUGAAACCGUGUACGUACAAGCAGUGGGAGCACAGGUUUACCUGUGUGACUGCGUACCUUUUGUAUAAUGGGUCAGCGACUUAUAUUCUGUAGCAAGGUUAACCGUAUAGGGGAGCCGCAGGGAAACCGAGUCUUAACCGGGCGUUAAGUUGCAGGGUAUAGACCCGAAACCCGGUGAUCUAGCCAUGGGCAGGUUGAAGGUUGGGUAACACUAACUGGAGGACCGAACCGACUAAUGUUGAAAAAUUAGCGGAUGACCUGUGGCUGGGGGUGAAAGGCCAAUCAAACCGGGAGAUAGCUGGUUCUCCCCGAAAGCUAUUUAGGUAGCGCCUCGUGAAUUCAUCUCCGGGGGUAGAGCACUGUUUCGGCUAGGGGGCCAUCCCGGCUUACCAACCCGAUGCAAACUGCGAAUACCGGAGAAUGUUAUCACGGGAGACACACGGCGGGUGCUAACGUCCGUCGUGAAGAGGGAAACAACCCAGACCGCCAGCUAAGGUCCCAAAGUCAUGGUUAAGUGGGAAACGAUGUGGGAAGGCCCAGACAGCCAGGAUGUUGGCUUAGAAGCAGCCAUCAUUUAAAGAAAGCGUAAUAGCUCACUGGUCGAGUCGGCCUGCGCGGAAGAUGUAACGGGGCUAAACCAUGCACCGAAGCUGCGGCAGCGACACUGUGUGUUGUUGGGUAGGGGAGCGUUCUGUAAGCCUGUGAAGGUGUGUCGUGAGGC